Molecule: long non-coding RNA, 1769 nt
Organism: Gopherus flavomarginatus (Mexican gopher tortoise)
Lineage: Eukaryota; Metazoa; Chordata; Testudines; Testudinidae
Exons: 3
Source: RefSeq, a predicted model, not a curated record
GGUGCCUGGAGCGGCCCGGCCCGGGGUGCUAGGACCGAGGUGGGCGCGGGGCUGGCUCGGGACGCUGGGCCGGGGGUGCGCGGGCGAGCUGCGGAGCGAGCCCCUCUGGCCGGCUGGGGACCCGAGCCGCUACCGGCCCCUGGUUCCCGCUGGCCCGGCUGUGAGCGCGGGCCGGGAUCGGACGGGUCUGGGUUUGGAAAGCGACGAGGCUUUUCCGCAGUGAAACCCGCUGCUGGGGCUGUGGGUCAGCCUGAGAGUCGCAAAUGUACUCAUCUGAGAAAAGGUUUUCUGUCUGCUAUUUUUCUGAAGUUAUGCAGAUAUGACCCCCCUACUCCUUAAUUAUAAAACACAUUUUGAGGUUAUCUGAUCUGCCGGAGAUGCACGUGGGGAAGAAACAUGGAAUGGAAUCGGUAUGUCACUGAGUCCCUGGGCGAUGCUCUGGAACUGCUCCCCACAAAGCCAGUCAGGACUUUGCAUAUCCUCCUCUCCCUUGGAGAAGACUUUUUCAGGGCAAGCAGCUCACACGUCUUCACCUUCUGGGUCUCUCCUUGGUGCAUUCAGCAUCCUCUGCUCCUCCAUGCGCUUCCCACAGUGAGUCCGCUCUAGCAGGGUCCUGAAGAAGCCACAGGGUCCUGCACCCCCACUUUGCAGUCAGAUGUGACUCUCAGCCAGCCAGUAACACAGAGGUUUAUUUGAUGACAGGAAUACGGUCUAAAACAGAGCUUGUAGGUGCUGCGAACUGGACCCCUCCGCCGGGUCCAUUCUGGGGGGCAGUGAGCCAGACCCCCACGUCUGCACUUCACUCCUUGUCCAUAGCCAACUCCAGACUCCAAAACCCCUCCAGCCCCUCCUCUCUGCUCAGUUCCUUUCCUGGGCCAGGAGGUCACCUGAUCCCUUUGUCUCCAACACCUUCAGUUGGCACCUUUGCAGAGGAGGGGCCCAGGCCAUCAGUUGCUAGGAGACAGAGUGCCAGGCAUUUAGGUGCACUGGCCCUUUGCUCUGUAGCAAUCACACACCCUUAUCCCCCCUCCUGGAUACUUAAGAACUGCAUGGGACACUGAGGCACCAACACAGUAUUCAGAGAAAAUAUUAAGAACAUUCCCAGUUUGCCACAAGGUAUAAAUAAGAAGUCUGGCGCCAUUAGUUUUUAACUGUAAGUUUGUCAUGUACAUCAUGUAUACUGUCCUGUGUUGUAGGUUUGUGUGUGUGUGUGUAAAACAUCACUUUUUUAAAAAUUAUCUUUAUUUUGUUGCAACAAAAGUCAAUUCUCUACCUUUUUAAAAAAAAAGGUGGUACCACACUAUUUUACUAUUGUGUUUGGGGUAUAAGUACCAUAAUAUUAUUAUCACCAUUUUUUUAAAGUUCAAAAAGGUCUCAGUUAUAAAUAGAUGAAUUAUUUGGUGAGGCAGAAAUAUAUGUACAAUUAAAACCCAAAGAAUUCUCUUUUAUUAAUCAGUUUUUUUAUUUUUAUUUUUUUAUUCAAAGAAAAAAAUGUAAGGGGAAAGCUCAACAUUAAGGUAAAGGUAAUAUUAACAAAAUGUCAAAUUCUUGUUUGGGUUUUUAUGAUCUUGUUUGCAAUUUUAAAUAUCCCUAUAAAAAUGUCAUAGCAAAAAUGUUUAAAAAUAACAGUUUCAUUCAUAAAGCUAACCAAAGGGUUUCAACAGGUUUCCACCUUUGGCUCCCAAACACAACAAAGUGUCAUAAAAAUUUAAUACCCUUAAAGUGUUUGCAUGAACUUGCAUUUAAAAUGUAUUUUGGUUUAAUUGUUA